Molecule: ribosomal RNA, 279 nt
Filed under: uncultured bacterium
Lineage: Bacteria
Description: partial 16S ribosomal RNA
Rfam family: Bacterial small subunit ribosomal RNA
Source: RNAcentral
UGCCAGCCGCCGCGGUAAUACGGAGGGUGCAAGCGUUAUCCGGAUUCACUGGGUUUAAAGGGUGUGUAGGCGGACUUUUAAGUCAGUGGUGAAAUCCCGUGGCUCAACUCCGGAACUGCCAUUGAUACUGAAAGUCUUGAGUACAGUCGAAGUAGGCGGAAUGUGUAAUGUAGCGGUGAAAUGCUUAGAUAUUACACAGAACACCGAUUGCGAAGGCAGCUUACUAAGCUGUUACUGACGCUGAUGCACGAAAGCGUGGGGAGCGAACAGGAUUAGAUA